GUUUUUACUUGAAAACAUGACAGUGCGACCAGACAGGCCCUAUAUCCUGGUUGAUGAACCAUGACCGUGCGACCAGAGCGUGAUUAACGGCUAAGAUCAUCUUUAGAUGUAUCCGGUGCUGUAGAGGAUCGUUACCCGGCUCGGUCUAAACCUUGCAGGGGCGGUUGCACGGCGGUCUGACAGGCU
Brassica rapa (field mustard) is the source of this 186-nucleotide non-coding RNA. The record is from Rfam. Lineage: Eukaryota; Viridiplantae; Streptophyta; Magnoliopsida; Brassicales; Brassicaceae.